Molecule: ribosomal RNA, 467 nt
Filed under: uncultured bacterium
Lineage: Bacteria
Description: partial 16S ribosomal RNA
Rfam family: Bacterial small subunit ribosomal RNA
Source: RNAcentral
GACGAACGCUGGCGGCGUGCUUAACACAUGCCAGUCGAACGGAAAGGCCCUGCUUUUGUGGGGUGCUCGAGUGGCGAACGGGUGAGUAACACGUGAGUAACCUGCCCUUGACUUUGGGAUAACUUCAGGAAACUGGGGCUAAUACCGGAUAGGAGCUCCUGCUGCAUGGUGGGGGUUGGAAAGUUUCGGCGGUUGGGGAUGGACUCGCGGCUUAUCAGCUUGUUGGUGGGGUAGUGGCUUACCAAGGCUUUGACGGGUAGCCGGCCUGAGAGGGUGACCGGCCACAUUGGGACUGGGAUACGGCCAGACUCCUACGGGAGGCAGCAGUGGGGAAUAUUGCACAAUGGGCGGAAGCCUGAUGCAGCAACGCCGCGUGCGGGAUGACGGCCUUCGGGUUGUAAACCGCUUUCGCCUGUGACGAAGCGUGAGUGACGGUAAUGGGUAAAGAAGCACCGGCUAACUACGUG